Centruroides sculpturatus (bark scorpion) is the source of this 271-nucleotide long non-coding RNA. RefSeq lists it as uncharacterized. The transcript is spliced from 2 exons. NCBI's taxonomy places the organism in Eukaryota, Metazoa, Arthropoda, Arachnida, Scorpiones, Buthidae. The record is from RefSeq and is a predicted model, not a curated record.
UCCCGAUAAAAUUUUUAUAUAAAAUGUUAUCACAGGUCAUUUGAUAUUUUCAGUUUUUUAUUAUUUGCGUGUUACGUAAGUAUUACAAAAAACCGUAUUUUUUAAAUCGAAAUUAUAACAAAUUUAUUCAUAUACCUGAAAUUUUAAUACGAAUUUAAUUAAUAUACACGUCAGCCUAAAAGUCAGAAUUAAUCUGCAGAAAUGGCAAUCAUUUUACCAGUAUUGUUUACAUAUGCUAUGGUUGGAAAUACUUUUGAUUACAAAAAUUAUG